GUCAUACUUCCAAGAAAAGCUUGCACUGUCAGAAACAGAUAAUGCCUGUACCAUAACCGACACAGGUGGGUAGGUAGAGUAUACUAAGGGGCGCGAGAUAACUCUCUCUAAGGAACUCGGCAAAAUGACUCCGUAACUUCGGGAGAAGGAGUGCCUUAUUUUUAAGGUUGCAAUAACAAGAUCCAAGCAACUGUUUACCAAAAACACAGGUCUCCGCUAAGUCGUAAGACGAUGUAUGGGGGCUGACGCCUGCCCAGUGCCAGAAGGUUAAAGAAGUCGGUUAGCAUUCGCGAAGCUGGUAACUGAAGCCCUGGUGAACGGCGGCCGUAACUAUAACGGUCCUAAGGUAGCGAAAUUCCUUGUCGGGUAAGUUCCGACCCGCACGAAAGGCGUAAUGAUUUGGAUACUGUCUCGGAGAGGGGCUCGGUGAAAUAGACUUGUCUGUGAAGAUGCGGACUACCUGCACCUGGACAGAAAGACCCUAUGAAGCUUUACUGUAACUUGAAAUUGAAAUUGGACUUUAUUUGCGCAGUAUAGGUGGGAGGCGUUGAAAAUAUUCUUGCGGGAAUAUUGGAGCCAUCAGUGAGAUACCACUCUUGUAAUGUUAGAUUUCUAACUUUAUAUCAUUAUCUGGUUAAAGAACAGUUUCAGGCGGGCAGUUUGACUGGGGCGGUCGCCUCCCAAAUGGUAACGGAGGCGCACAAAGGUUUCCUCUGAACGGGUAGAAAUCGUAUCUAGAGUGUAAAGGCAUAAGGAAGCUUGACUGUGAGACCUACAAGUCGAGCAGGGACGAAAGUCGGUCUUAGUGAUCUGACGGUGCUGAGUGGAAAGGCCGUCACUCAACGGAUAAAAGUUACUCUAGGAUAACAGGCUGAUCUCCCCCAAGAGUUCACAUCGACGGGGAGGUUUGGCACCUCGAUGUCGGCUCAUCGCAUCCUGGGGCGGUAGUACGUCCCAAGGGUUGGGCUGUUCGCCCAUGAAAGCGGUACGCGAGCUGGGUUCAGAACGUCGUGAGACAGUUCGGUCCAUAUCCGGUGUAGGCGUUAGAAUAUUGAGAGGAGCCUUCUUUAGUACGAGAGGACCGAGAAGGACAUACCUCUGGUGUACCAGUUAUCGUGCCAACGGUAAACGCUGGGUAGCUAUGUAUGGAGUGGAUAACCGCUGAAAGCAUCUAAGUGGGAAGCCCACCUCAAGAUAAGUAUUCUC
This 1206-nucleotide ribosomal RNA is filed under the name metagenome. RNAcentral describes it as "bacterial LSU rRNA". It matches the Rfam family "Bacterial large subunit ribosomal RNA", at positions 1599 to 2815 of the family's 2925-position model. The record is from RNAcentral.